This 467-nucleotide ribosomal RNA is filed under the name uncultured bacterium. RNAcentral's name for it is "partial 16S ribosomal RNA". It matches the Rfam family "Bacterial small subunit ribosomal RNA", at positions 28 to 506 of the family's 1533-position model. The record is from RNAcentral.
GACGAACGCUGGCGGCGUGCUUAACACAUGCAAGUCGAACGGAAAGGCCCUGCUUUUGUGGGGUGCUCGAGUGGCGAACGGGUGAGUAACACGAGAGUAACCUGCCCUUGACUUUGGGAUAACUUCAGGAAACUGGGGCUAAUACCGGAUAGGAGCUCCUGCUGCAUGGUGGGGGUUGGAAAGUUUCGGCGGUUGGGGAUGGACUCGCGGCUUAUCAGCUUGUUGAUGGGGUAGUGGCUUACCAAGGCUUUGACGGGUAGCCGGCCUGAGAGGGUGACCGGCCACAUUGGGACUGAGAUACGGCCCAGACUCCUACGGGAGGCAGCAGUGGGGAAUAUUGCACAAUGGGCGGAAGCCUGAUGCAGCAACGCCGCGUGCGGGAUGACGGCCUUCGGGUUGUAAACCGCUUUCGCCUGUGACGAAGCGUGAGUGACGGUAAUGGGUAAAGAAGCACCGGCUAACUACGU